RNAcentral lists this ribosomal RNA (497 nucleotides) under uncultured bacterium. RNAcentral's name for it is "partial 16S ribosomal RNA". It matches the Rfam family "Bacterial small subunit ribosomal RNA", at positions 28 to 507 of the family's 1533-position model. The record is from RNAcentral.
GAUGAACGCUGGCGGCGUGCCUAAUACAUGCAAGUCGAGCGAACAGACGAGGAGCUUGCUCCUCUGACGUUAGCGGCGGACGGGUGAGUAACACGUGGAUAACCUACCUAUAAGACUGGGAUAACUUCGGGAAACCGGAGCUAAUACCGGAUAAUAUAUUGAACCGCAUGGUUCAAUAGUGAAAGACGGUUUUGCUGUCACUUAUAGAUGGAUCCGCGCCGCAUUAGCUAGUUGGUAAGGUAACGGCUUACCAAGGCAACGAUGCGUAGCCGAGGGGAGAGGGUGAUAGGCCACACGGGAACUGAGACACGGUCCAGACUCCUACGGGAGGCAGCAGUAGGGAAUCUUCCGCAAUGGGCGAAAGCCUGACGGAGCAACGGCGCGUGAGUGAUGAAGGUGUUCGGAUCGUAAAAAUCUGUUAUUAGGGAAGAACAAAUGUGUAAGGAACUAUGCACGGCUUGACGGUACCGAAUAAGAAAGCCACGGCUAACUACGUG